UGAAGUAAUAAUUAUCAAUGAAACAAUGUGGUCAAUUUUAUCGACUGGCCCCGCCCCAAAAAUUUCAGGCCUUGUGCCUAGAGUAGAAAGGAAUA
Molecule: long non-coding RNA, 95 nt
Organism: Octopus sinensis (East Asian common octopus)
Lineage: Eukaryota; Metazoa; Mollusca; Cephalopoda; Octopoda; Octopodidae
Exons: 4
Source: RefSeq, a predicted model, not a curated record